Molecule: ribosomal RNA, 400 nt
Filed under: uncultured bacterium
Lineage: Bacteria
Description: bacterial SSU rRNA
Rfam family: Bacterial small subunit ribosomal RNA
Source: RNAcentral
GGGGAAUAUUGCACAAUGGACGAAAGUCUGAUGCAGCAACGCCGCGUGGAGGAUGACACAUUUCGGUGCGUAAACUCCUUUUAUAUAAGAAGAUAAUGACGGUAUUAUAUGAAUAAGCACCGGCUAACUCCGUGCCAGCAGCCGCGGUAAUACGGAGGGUGCAAGCGUUACUCGGAAUCACUGGGCGUAAAGAGCGUGUAGGCGGAUUGAUAAGUUUGAAGUGAAAUCCUAUAGCUUAACUAUAGAACUGCUUUGAAAACUGUUAAUCUAGAAUGUGGGAGAGGUAGAUGGAAUUUCUGGUGUAGGGGUAAAAUCCGUAGAGAUCAGAAGGAAUACCGAUUGCGAAGGCGAUCUACUGGAACAAUAUUGACGCUGAGACGCGAAAGCGUGGGGAGCAAAC